RNAcentral lists this ribosomal RNA (610 nucleotides) under Bacillus safensis. RNAcentral's name for it is "bacterial SSU rRNA". It matches the Rfam family "Bacterial small subunit ribosomal RNA", at positions 442 to 1043 of the family's 1533-position model. The record is from RNAcentral. Lineage: Bacteria; Bacillati; Bacillota; Bacilli; Caryophanales; Bacillaceae. RNAcentral also lists the same sequence under 1 other name.
GGGAAGAACAAGUGCGAGAGUAACUGCUCGCACCUUGACGGUACCUAACCAGAAAGCCACGGCUAACUACGUGCCAGCAGCCGCGGUAAUACGUAGGUGGCAAGCGUUGUCCGGAAUUAUUGGGCGUAAAGGGCUCGCAGGCGGUUUCUUAAGUCUGAUGUGAAAGCCCCCGGCUCAACCGGGGAGGGUCAUUGGAAACUGGGAAACUUGAGUGCAGAAGAGGAGAGUGGAAUUCCACGUGUAGCGGUGAAAUGCGUAGAGAUGUGGAGGAACACCAGUGGCGAAGGCGACUCUCUGGUCUGUAACUGACGCUGAGGAGCGAAAGCGUGGGGAGCGAACAGGAUUAGAUACCCUGGUAGUCCACGCCGUAAACGAUGAGUGCUAAGUGUUAGGGGGUUUCCGCCCCUUAGUGCUGCAGCUAACGCAUUAAGCACUCCGCCUGGGGAGUACGGUCGCAAGACUGAAACUCAAAGGAAUUGACGGGGGCCCGCACAAGCGGUGGAGCAUGUGGUUUAAUUCGAAGCAACGCGAAGAACCUUACCAGGUCUUGACAUCCUCUGACAACCCUAGAGAUAGGGCUUUCCCUUCGGGGACAGAGUGACAGGUGGUG